RNAcentral lists this long non-coding RNA (1137 nucleotides) under Coturnix japonica (Japanese quail). Its description in RNAcentral is "lncRNA (ENSCJPG00005020397.1)". Lineage: Eukaryota; Metazoa; Chordata; Aves; Galliformes; Phasianidae. The record is from RNAcentral.
UUGCUGAAGCAAAGGGAGGGGGAGAGGCUGGAAUCCUUCUUGAAAGACAGCCAUGCUGGGACACGUGAGAUGGUGUUGUUUUGUGAUCGUGAGCCUGGGUCUCCAUUAUGAUUACACUGCAAUGAGUGCCAAGACUGUGCCUGGAAAUUGGAUCAGCUGAGCCUUGAACAGUAGCUGCUGCUUUUCCCAGUGAGUCGGAAGCCAGCCUAUCUCUGCAGAGCUUCACCACCACGCUUGGACCCAGGUGCAGCCCAGACAACACUGAAAGCCCGAAAAUCUGCUGGCAGUGAUAAAUGCUCAUCUCCUUCCCCUUCUGUGCUGUGGUCCUGUUAACCCAGAUUCUGCCAAGGCUUCCAUCACAGAUAGGAAGAAGUCUGGAAAGCCACCUCCAUGCCCUGAUGCAGCACUACAACACGGCCCUGAAGUGGCAGCUGUGAAACGCAGAACAACCAGACAAAGCUGGUAACACAUUUGUACAGCCUGGGGUGUCGGGAGGAAUCAGCUCCACGGAGCAGACAAGGAGACAGAGAAGUGAAGUUUUAGGUUCUCUCCUCGGUUUGCUACAUUGCAAAGCAAGCUGUCCUCAAGUCCUUUGGGAAGCUUUUCUAUGCAACGAUUAUCCCUCUCUUCGAGUCUGAAAGGGAAUUACUGCACAUGAAUCUGGAGAGGUUCAGAGAAGCACUGAAAGGUUCUUGCAUUAGGGACUUCAAAGUGUGACCACCUAACUCCUGCCACCAGAAGCACGGUAAGCUACCUGCCCUUUGUGUUCUAUUUCACUUGAUGUUGGGUGAAUCUGCUCAGUCCAACCCCACUCCUCUCUCCAUUUCCAGCUGCAGAAAACACACUUCAUGUCCCACACCAGCUCCAGGGAUGUGAUUGUGUUGCACUUUCAUCUCAGAAGCUGGCUUAAUUCAGGUUUAUUUCAUUGUCAGAGAGAUAUGCCAAGGCACUUAAUUUCAGUUAGUCCUUAGCAGAAACAUGUUCUCAUGGAAAAUGUUGGCUGGUGGUGCUUGCUCUGCUCGAGGCUGCUGCCCUGGAGAUGACCUCCCUUAUAUCCUCCUCUUAUUUUAAAAUGGCAUCUGGCUGCUCAAAAAACACCAUUUCUUUUCCACUUCCAAAACACCAUGAGUCCAUGAG